This 445-nucleotide ribosomal RNA is filed under the name uncultured microorganism. RNAcentral's name for it is "bacterial SSU rRNA". It matches the Rfam family "Bacterial small subunit ribosomal RNA", at positions 9 to 455 of the family's 1533-position model. The record is from RNAcentral.
GAGUUUGAUCGUGGCUCAGAGUGAACGCUGGCGGUAGGCCUAACACAUGCAAGUCGAACGGCAGCACAGAGGAGCUUGCUCCUUGGGUGGCGAGUGGCGGACGGGUGAGGAAUACAUCGGAAUCUACUCUGUCGUGGGGGAUAACGUAGGGAAACUUACGCUAAUACCGCAUACGACCUACGGGGUGAAAGCAGGGGAUCUUCGGACCUUGCGCGAUUGAAUGAGCCGAUGUCAGAUUAGCUAGUUGGCGGGGUAAAGGCCACCAAGGCGACGAUCCGUAGCUGGUCUGAGAGGAUGAUCAGCCACACUGGAACUGAGACACGGUCCAGACUCCUACGGGAGGCAGCAGUGGGGAAUAUUGGACAAUGGGCGCAAGCCUGAUCCAGCCAUACCGCGUGGGUGAAGAAGGCCUCGGUUGUAAGCCUUUCGUUGGUAAGAAGUACAG